AAGCGAGUCAAACCACCCAAAAGAAGCAGUGGGAUUAAGUGAUGGGGUGACUGCGUACCUUUUGUAUAAUGGGUCAGCGACUUAUAUUUUGUAGCGAGGUUAACUGAAUAGGGGAGCCGAAGGGAAACCGAGUCUUAACUGGGCGAAUAGUUGCAAGGUAUAGACCCGAAACCCGGUGAUCUAGCCAUGGGCAGGUUGAAGGUUGGGUAACACUAACUGGAGGACCGAACCGACUAAUGUUGAAAAAUUAGCGGAUGACUUGUGGCUGGGGGUGAAAGGCCAAUCAAACCGGGAGAUAGCUGGUUCUCCCCGAAAUCUAUUUAGGUAGAGCCUUGAGGUGACACCUUUGGGGGUAGAGCACUGUUUCGGCUAGGGGGCCAUCCCGGCUUACCAACCCGAUGCAAACUACGAAUACCGAAGAGUGAUACUCAGGAGACACACGGCGGGUGCUAACGUCCGUCGUGGAGAGGGAAACAACCCAGACCGCCAGCUAAGGUCCCCAAGUCUAUAUUAAGUGGGAAACGAAGUGGGAAGGCUUAGACAGCUAGGAUGUUGGCUUAGAAGCA
RNAcentral lists this ribosomal RNA (566 nucleotides) under Haemophilus influenzae. RNAcentral describes it as "bacterial LSU rRNA". It matches the Rfam family "Bacterial large subunit ribosomal RNA", at positions 544 to 1114 of the family's 2925-position model. Lineage: Bacteria; Pseudomonadati; Pseudomonadota; Gammaproteobacteria; Pasteurellales; Pasteurellaceae. The record is from RNAcentral.